This 497-nucleotide ribosomal RNA is filed under the name uncultured bacterium. Its description in RNAcentral is "partial 16S ribosomal RNA". It matches the Rfam family "Bacterial small subunit ribosomal RNA", at positions 28 to 507 of the family's 1533-position model. The record is from RNAcentral.
GAUGAACGCUGGCGGCGUGCCUAACACAUGCAAGUCGAGCGAAUAGACGAGGAUUUUGCUUCUCUGACGUUAGCGGCGGACGGGUGAUUCACACGUGUAUAACCUACCUUUAAGACUGGGAUAACUUCGCGAGACCGGAUCCAACACCGGUCAAUAUAUUGAACCGCAGGGAUCAUUAGUGAAAGCCGGAUCUGCUGUCACUUAUACAUGGUUCCAGGCCGCAUUAGCUAGUUGGUACGGUAACGGCUUACCAAGGCGACGAUGCGUAGCCGACCUGAGAGGGUGAUCAGCCACACUGGAACUGAGACACGGUCCAGACUCCUACGGGAGGCAGCAGUAGGGAAUCUUCGGCAAUGGGCGAAAGCCUGACGGAGCCACGCCGCGUGAGUGAUGAAGGUCUUCGGAUCGUAAAGCUCUGUUAUUUGGGAAGAACAGAUGUAUGAGUAACUCUGCACGUCUUGACGGUACCAAAACAGUAAGCAACGGCUAACUACGUG